AAAUGAAUAGACGGGGAGACACUACAACGAGUGACGCGUGCGGUUCAAUCAGAUUCUACACCGUGAACCUCACCAGGAGCGACAGCAGAAUGAAGGUCAGUCUGAAGGGCUUACCUGACACGCUGAGCGGAGAUACAUAGUCGACGUCAGCCUGUGCAGUGAUGUGACCUGUUAAAUCAGGUAACAGGCGAGACCCGUGUCAACAAUUACUACCGAAAGGAGAACAUUGUUGAGACUGCCUUGGUAACAAGGAGGAAGGUGCGGGCUACGUCAGGUGGCAUGUCCCUAAUCCCCUGGGCUACACGCGCGCGGCAAUGGUAUACUCAAUGAGAUGCAACACCGAAAGGUGAAGCCAAUCCCCUAACGUAUAUCUCAGUUCAAAUUGAGGGUUGCAACCCACCCUCAUGACGCUGGAAUUCGUAGUAAUCGUUCGUUAGCAGCAAACGGUGAAUACGUCCCUGUCUCUUGCACACACCGCCCGU
RNAcentral lists this ribosomal RNA (482 nucleotides) under uncultured bacterium. RNAcentral describes it as "bacterial SSU rRNA". It matches the Rfam family "Archaeal small subunit ribosomal RNA", at positions 858 to 1353 of the family's 1478-position model. The record is from RNAcentral.